This 286-nucleotide long non-coding RNA is filed under the name Carica papaya (papaya). RNAcentral describes it as "long non-coding RNA (CPAP_LNC001502)". The record is from RNAcentral. Lineage: Eukaryota; Viridiplantae; Streptophyta; Magnoliopsida; Brassicales; Caricaceae.
GACUAUUGAGGUUUAAUGUCUUGACGCUCAUAUAGGAUGGAAUAUGGGGUCGGCUAUGUAAUUAAAACUGUUAAGGAAAAGGGUUCACAUGUAGCGGGGACACCCCUAUGAAUCCCCAUGGAUACUAGUAGGCUGGUGAAACGAGAAACGGUUACGAUUUCAUUUAUUGUUAAUAAAUGUGAAUUUAUGAUAUGUUCUAUGUUGCUGAUCGUGCAUGAAAUUAUGAUAUAUAUGAUAUUAUUGCUUCUAUAAUUUGUUUUCAUAAAUUCCCCAAUGGUAAGUAAAU